GUGAGUGAAUAAAUAAACAGACACAAGAGGGUGAUGCAUGUUAGUAAACUAUUCAUUAAAACAAUUCAACAAUUACUGUAAAAUCAGACAUUUUUGCCAUAUUUUAUUAUAGAAAGAAUUGUGACGGGAUAGUUUCAUUAAAAAAAUAAAAACUUGAAUGGAAAAGCAUAAUAUGUGUGAAGUAUAUGUUAAAAUUGCUAUACUGUGGAUACCGAUUUUUUGGCAAAAAUCAUGAUAUCAAAUAUCCAUGAAAAUACCAUUUUUCCCGAGGUCAUCAAAAUAUGGUAUUGACAAAAAUAAAUGAAUUUACA
Molecule: long non-coding RNA, 311 nt
Filed under: Mytilus galloprovincialis (Mediterranean mussel)
Lineage: Eukaryota; Metazoa; Mollusca; Bivalvia; Mytilida; Mytilidae
Source: RNAcentral